UGCCGNGGNAAACCNNAGNCGAGCGAAUGGAUUAAGNGCUUGCUCUUAUGAAGUNAGCGGCGGACGGGUGAGUAACACGUGGGUAACCUGCCCAUAAGACUGGGAUAACUCCGGGAAACCGGGGCUAAUACCGGAUAACAUUUUGAACNGCAUGGUUCGAAAUUGAAAGGCGGUUUUUNCUGUCACUUAUGGAUGGACCCGCGUCGCAUUAGCUAGUUGGUGAGGUAACGGCUCACCAAGGCAACGAUGCGUAGCCGACCUGAGAGGGUGAUCGGCCACACUGGGACUGAGACACGGCCCAGACUCCUACGGGAGGCAGCAGUAGGGAAUCUUCCGCAAUGGACGAAAGUCUGACGGAGCAACGCCGCGUGAGUGAUGAAGGCUUUCGGGUCGUAAAACUCUGUUGUUAGGGAAGAACAAGUGCUAGUUGAAUAAGCUGGCACCUUGACGGUACCUAACCAGAAAGCCACGGCUAACUACGUGCCAGCAGCCGCGGUAAUACGUAGGUGGCAAGCCNUUAUCCNGAAUUAUUGGGCNUAAAGCGCCGCGC
Molecule: ribosomal RNA, 550 nt
Filed under: bacterium OTU35
Lineage: Bacteria
Description: partial 16S ribosomal RNA
Rfam family: Bacterial small subunit ribosomal RNA
Source: RNAcentral